ACCCUUCUCUAAGGAAUAGCCACUGGAAACGGUGAGUAAUACCUUAUACGCCCUUCGGGGAAAGAUUUAUCGGAGAGGGAUCAGCCCGCGUUAGAUUAGAUAGUUGGUGGGGUAACGGCCUACCAAGUCUACGAUCUAUAGCUGGUUUUAGAGGAUGAUCAGCAACACUGGGACUGAGACACGGCCCAGACUCCUACGGGAGGCAGCAGUGGGGAAUCUUGGACAAUGGGCGCAAGUGAUCCAGCCAUGCCGCGUGAGUGAUGAAGGCCUUAGGGUCGUAAAGCUCUUUCGCCAGGGAUGAUAAUGACAGUACCUGGUAAAGAAACCCCGGCUAACUCCGUGCCAGCAGCCGCGGUAAUACGGAGGGGGUUAGCGUUGUUCGGAAUUACUGGGCGUAAAGCGCGCGUAGGGGAUUGGAAAGUUGGGGGUGAAAUCCCGGGGCUCAACCCCGAACUGCCUCCAAAACUAUCAGUCUAGAGUUCGAGAGAGGUGAGUGGAAUUCCAAGUGUAGAGGUGAAAUUCGUAGAUAUUUGGAGGAACACCAGUGGCGAAGGGGCUCACUGGCUCGAUACUGACGCUGAGGUGCGAAAGUGUGGGGAGCAAACAGGAUUAGAUACCCUGGUAGUCCACACCGUAAACGAUGAAUGCCAGACGUCGGGGGGCUUGCCUUCGGUGUCACACCUAACGGAUUAAGCAUUCCGCCUGGGGAGUACGGUCGCAAGAUUAAAACUCAAAGGAAUUGACGAGGG
Molecule: ribosomal RNA, 749 nt
Filed under: uncultured bacterium
Lineage: Bacteria
Description: bacterial SSU rRNA
Rfam family: Bacterial small subunit ribosomal RNA
Source: RNAcentral